AAACCAUCGCAUGACUGGCGGAAGUGGAAAAAACCACAAGGGAAUGCGAUGUGAAGUUCGUUGCCGACCGCCUGGGCCCUCUUG
Molecule: non-coding RNA, 84 nt
Filed under: Alicyclobacillus sp.
Lineage: Bacteria; Bacillati; Bacillota; Bacilli; Caryophanales; Alicyclobacillaceae
Description: ZTP sequence
Rfam family: ZMP/ZTP riboswitch aptamer (pfl RNA motif)
About the family: Previously known as pfl RNA.
Source: RNAcentral